AAGCGGAGGAACAUGUGGUUUAAUUCGAUGAUACGCGAGAACCUUACCUGGGCUUAAAUGUAGAGUGCAUUGAGAGGAAACUUUCAUUUUCUUCGGAACUCUUUACAAGGUGCUGCAUGGUUGUCGUCAGCUCGUGCCGUGAGGUGUCGGGUUAAGUCCCAUAACGAGCGCAACCCUUAUCGUUAGUUGCCAGCGGGUAAUGCCGGGAACUCUAGCGAAACUGCCGGUGUAAACCGAGAGGAAGUGGGGAUGACGUCAAAUCAGCACGGCCCUUAUGUCCAGGGCUACACACGUGUUACAAUGGCCGGUACAGAGGGCAGCUACCUGUUGACAGGAUGCGAAUCUCGAAAGCCGGUCUCAGUUCGGAUCGGAGUCUGCAACCCGACUCCGUGAAGCUGGAUUCGCUAGUAAUCGCGCAUCAGCCAUGGCGCGGUCGAAUACGUUCCCGGGCCUU
This 454-nucleotide ribosomal RNA is filed under the name uncultured Sphingobacteriales bacterium. RNAcentral describes it as "bacterial SSU rRNA". It matches the Rfam family "Bacterial small subunit ribosomal RNA", at positions 927 to 1382 of the family's 1533-position model. Lineage: Bacteria; Pseudomonadati; Bacteroidota; Sphingobacteriia; Sphingobacteriales. The record is from RNAcentral.